GGAGAGGUUCCCGAGUGGUCAAAGGGGGCAGGCUGUAAACCUGCUGGCAAUGCCUUCGGGGGUUCGAAUCCUCCCCUCUCCA
This 82-nucleotide transfer RNA is filed under the name Deltaproteobacteria bacterium. Its description in RNAcentral is "tRNA-Tyr". It matches the Rfam family "tRNA". From Rfam's summary of the family: Transfer RNA (tRNA) molecules are approximately 80 nucleotides in length. Their secondary structure includes four short double-helical elements and three loops (D, anti-codon, and T loops). Lineage: Bacteria; Pseudomonadati; Myxococcota; Myxococcia. The record is from RNAcentral.